GCGGCUCUGAAUGCAUUUUGUGAACAGCUCAGGGCUGGACACGUGUGGCGAAUUGGAGAAUGAUUUCUCCAGUUCCUGCACUCAGACAUGAAGUACUUCUUCGUGCCUUUUGCAGAAGAGGCCCCAGAAGAAGGGGUGGGGCAGAGGCAAAGGGGGACGAUGAAGACAGGACAAGCCUCGAGCUGAGAUCUUCAUCGUUCAGAUGGAGACGCCUCCAGAGGGCUCUGGUUGCCCUCGGUGGGUGCUCUCAUCUCCUCCCUGGCCUCGUCGGCCUCCCCUCGCUCCUUUCAGGAUGCUGCCUCCCCUCCCCCUCGGAAGGUUUCCCAAUCAAGGCAGAUCAAAGCCACCGCAGAUGUGCUCCCGUGGGCUCCAUGAAGGCCGUGCCCAGGACGCCUAGCUCGGAAGCCCAAGAAAACAAAGAUGCGCUUCUGUCUGUGUCCCUAGACCACUCCAAUCAGCUAAACGAAGGCCAACCACGGACGCUGGCAUCUAGGGCUCCGACUGUCCCGGCUCCCGGGCGGGCGGCAGAGGCACGGGACAGGUCAAGCCACCAGUCGGCAAGGCAGUUACUUCCAGGCGAGAGGUGAAGGUGACCUUGCCCUUGAUGAAGGCUCCAGGAAGCCCUGGGAACCGCGGCUUCUCGGCCAGAUCCACGGGGGAGGACUGUCACUGGGAGGGUGGGAAGACGAUGGAGGGGCUGGACUGUCCCUUCAGCGUGUCGGCGAUCCGGGACCCCCGGUGGUCCCGACUCAGGUGCACAGGACCUCACGGUAACCUUGUCAGAGCUGCUCAGAACGGACCCAGAGCUUGGUGGUCCCCUUCUUUGGGACCCUCGGGUGUUGUGUCCCUCCUGGCUAAGCUUGCUCCACAGAUGGUCAAUAAAGGAGGUGACAGAGGCCA
RNAcentral lists this long non-coding RNA (900 nucleotides) under Felis catus (domestic cat). RNAcentral's name for it is "lncRNA (ENSFCAG00000041324.2)". Lineage: Eukaryota; Metazoa; Chordata; Mammalia; Carnivora; Felidae. The record is from RNAcentral.